Molecule: ribosomal RNA, 468 nt
Filed under: uncultured bacterium
Lineage: Bacteria
Description: partial 16S ribosomal RNA
Rfam family: Bacterial small subunit ribosomal RNA
Source: RNAcentral
GACGAACGCUGGCGACGUGCUUAACACAUGCAAGUCGAACGGAAAGGCCCUGCUUUUGUGGGGUGCUCGAGUGGCGAACGGGUGAGUAACACGUGAGUAACCUGCCCUUGACUUUGGGAUAACUUCAGGAAACUGGGGCUAAUACCGGAUAGGAGCUCCUGCUGCAUGGUGGGGGUUGGAAAGUUCCGGCGGUUGGGGAUGGACUCGCGGCUUAUCAGCUUGUUGGUGGGGUAGUGGCUUACCAAGGCUUUGACGGGUAGCCGGCCUGAGAGGGUGACCGGCCACAUUGGGACUGAGAUACGGCCCAGACUCCUACGGGAGGCAGCAGUGGGGAAUAUUGCACAAUGGGCGGAAGCCUGAUGCAGCAACGCCGCGUGCGGGAUGACGGCCUUCGGGUUGUAAACCGCUUUCGCCUGUGACGAAGCGUGAGUGACGGUAAUGGGUAAAGAAGCACCGGCUAACUACGUG